UCUCCUGGAAAACGGGUGGUAAUGCCGGAUGCUCCAGUUGAUCGCAUGGUCUUCUGGGAAAGCUUUCGCGGUAUGGGAUGGGGUCGCGUCCUAUCAGCUUGACGGCGGGGUAACGGCCCACCGUGGCUUCGACGGGUAGCCGGCCUGAGAGGGCGACCGGCCACAUUGGGACUGAGAUACGGCCCAGACUCCUACGGGAGGCAGCAGUGGGGAAUAUUGCACAAUGGGCGCAAGCCUGAUGCAGCGACGCCGCGUGAGGGAUGGAGGCCUUCGGGUUGUAAACCUCUUUUAUCGGGGAGCAAGCGAGAGUGAGUUUACCCGUUGAAUAAGCACCGGCUAACUACGUGCCAGCAGCCGCGGUAAUACGUAGGGUGCAAGCGUUAUCCGGAAUUAUUGGGCGUAAAGGGCUCGUAGGCGGUUCGUCGCGUCCGGUGUGAAAGUCCAUCGCUUAACGGUGGAUCCGCGCCGGGUACGGGCGGGCUUGAGUGCGGUAGGGGAGACUGGAAUUCCCGGUGUAACGGUGGAAUGUGUAGAUAUCGGAAAGAACACC
RNAcentral lists this ribosomal RNA (550 nucleotides) under Bifidobacterium longum subsp. suillum. Its description in RNAcentral is "bacterial SSU rRNA". It matches the Rfam family "Bacterial small subunit ribosomal RNA", at positions 146 to 710 of the family's 1533-position model. Lineage: Bacteria; Bacillati; Actinomycetota; Actinomycetes; Bifidobacteriales; Bifidobacteriaceae. The record is from RNAcentral.